This 1080-nucleotide long non-coding RNA is filed under the name Callithrix jacchus (white-tufted-ear marmoset). RNAcentral's name for it is "lncRNA (ENSCJAG00000079377.1)". The record is from RNAcentral. Lineage: Eukaryota; Metazoa; Chordata; Mammalia; Primates; Cebidae.
AUGAUACUGUACCGUCACACAAGGAAGAUAAUCUCCAUCACAAGCAUUUCAUUUAAAAUUCGCAGCAAAGUCGAAUUUGCACGCACUAUGUCUGAGUGGCCAAGAGUAAUGGAAGGAGUAUGUGAAAGGAACAGGAAGCAGGCAGAGGGAACCCAUGCACUCUGUGAAACAGCUCCCUUCUGAUUCUCAACCACGUGCACAUGCCUAACUUCCUCUGGUUAAACCUUUUAGCUCUCUAGCUGGCUGUUCUAUAUGCAAAAAAUAAAGCCAAAUUGAUAAAUAUCUCUUAUCCUGCCAUUAACUCUUCUUACAUUUGAAACAUUUUAUUAUCUACAGUUUAGCAUCAUCAUAUAUAAAAAUACCAUUAAUAUGAUAUUGAAAAAGAUACAUAUUAUAUAAUUAUCCUUGUUUUUUAUGAGCUACUAUUCUGAGUAAAAAUUACAUUGUAAUUCUUAUUAUAAUACCUUAUAUGAACAAUAAUUCAUUCGAUGCUUUUUUAAACCUACCAUAAUUGAAAUGUACCUGUUGAUAUUCCUUAUUAUUACCUAUGAUUUAGGGUGAAACAUAAUCAGAGUUUAUGAUUUGCUUUCCAAAGAGGAAUCAGUUGGUCUUUGAUUCCUCUUACUGCUGGUGAUCAAGCUUGCUCUUAAACACUUGAAGAUACUGGCACAAAAUCCACCAAUCACUAAUCAUCCAUAUACAUGUCUCUCUGGAACACUCCAUUACCGAGGCAAUAAAAAAUGAUGGUGCUUUUGAGUACAGCAUCAGUAUUUAUAUACUGUAGAUAGUUUUACAGUUGAACAUGUUAUUAUGUUUAUGCUUAGCAGUUACAGCAAUGUUCCCUGUUUAGUGAUGACAUACUAUGAGAGAAUACUCUUAUGGUAAACUGACUAGAAAUAAUUCACGCACUAUCAUCAUCAUGAGAUGGACAGCCUGACACUAAAAAUCCUAUUAGCUACAACAUUAAAUUAUCCUUUGUACAUUUCUUACUUCAAGAUUAAGAUACUCUGAGGUCAACUAAUUCAAAGAUUGGACUGCCUCACAAUUAUGUUACUCUUUUUUUCCUAUUUAAAAUGUUGA